UCCAACAGAUUGGUAUCCGGAGAUUUUGGUGGUCAUUGUGCGGUGGAAAUGAAGCGAGGAACCUCAUUUUGUAAACAUUCUUGGGUUAGCCAUGCGAUGGUGCUGAGUCCUGUUGGAAUGUCCAAGGUCUGCGGCCAAAAUGUUUGCGUGCCCAAGGCUUUAAAUCAUUCGGCAUUUAUUCUGAUGUCACGGUCGAUUAAUACGAGCGAAGAGCGACCAUCGGCUGUUAUGGCGGCCCACACCAUCACCAUGGACCAGUGCACAUUUUCAGCUUACCUCUUUGGCAAGUAAACACGAUAAUUUUGUUUGUUUACAAAAUGCUGGACAACAAAUGUUUUUCUCAUCGGAGAAACCCAAAUUCGGCAGUUCACCACUUUUGGCCAAGCGAAGCAACUCUUUAGCUCAUUUGAGUCUAUUUUCUUUCUUGCACUUUUUGGAAUUUCAAUGGCUUUACCCCGAGCUCAUUUUUCAAUAUUUGCCGAAUGGAAUAUUUCGAUAUGUUCAGCUCAAGAGCCAUUUUUCGGCCACUGCGACGAGGGUUACGAUCAAGUCGCUUCAUUACUUUUCGAAUCAUUUCUGCUGAUGUUGCUGUUUUCUUCCGUCCGCUUCCUUGACGUCGGGCUAUGGUACAAUUAUCACGGUAACGAGCGAUGGUACAAGACACAAAAGAUUUAUUCACAUUUAAAUGCUGGGGUUCUCUAACGAUAGCCACUUGUGGUUUUCCAGCCAAA
Musca vetustissima is the source of this 731-nucleotide long non-coding RNA. RefSeq lists it as uncharacterized. NCBI's taxonomy places the organism in Eukaryota, Metazoa, Arthropoda, Insecta, Diptera, Muscidae. The record is from RefSeq and is a predicted model, not a curated record. The transcript has 2 exons.